This 253-nucleotide ribosomal RNA is filed under the name uncultured bacterium. RNAcentral describes it as "partial 16S ribosomal RNA". It matches the Rfam family "Bacterial small subunit ribosomal RNA", at positions 524 to 776 of the family's 1533-position model. The record is from RNAcentral.
UACAGAGGGCGCAAGCGUUGUUCGGAUUCACUGGGCGUAAAGGGUGCGUAGGUGGCCAGGUAAGUUCGGUGUGAAAGCUCGGAGCUUAACUCCGAAAUGGCAUUGAAUACUAUCUGGCUAGAGGGUCGGAGGGGAGACUGGAAUUCUCGGUGUAGCAGUGAAAUGCGUAGAUAUCGAGAGGAACACCAGUGGCGAAGGCGAGUCUCUGGACGACUACUGACACUGAGGCACGAAAGCCAGGGGAGCAAACAGG